GUGGGGAAUAUUGGACAAUGGGCGCAAGCCUGAUCCAGCCAUGCCGCGUGAGUGAUGAAGGCCUUAGGGUUGUAAAGCUCUUUCAGUAGGGAAGAUAAUGACGGUACCUACAGAAGAAGCCCCGGCUAACUUCGUGCCAGCAGCCGCGGUAAUACGAAGGGGGCUAGCGUUGUUCGGAUUUACUGGUCGUAAAGCGCACGUAGGCGGAUUGGUCAGUUAGAGGUGAAAUCCCGAAGCUCAACUUCGGAACUGCCUUUAAUACUGCCAGUCUCGAGUCCGGAAGAGGUGAGUGGAACUCCUAGUGUAGAGGUGGAAUUCGUAGAUAUUAGGAAGAACACCAGUGGCGAAGGCGGCUCACUGGUCCGGUACUGACGCUGAGGUGCGAAAGCGUGGGGAGCAAACAGGAUUAGAAACCCCAGUAGUCC
Molecule: ribosomal RNA, 425 nt
Filed under: uncultured bacterium
Lineage: Bacteria
Description: partial 16S ribosomal RNA
Rfam family: Bacterial small subunit ribosomal RNA
Source: RNAcentral